Long non-coding RNA from Lycium ferocissimum, 3238 nucleotides. RefSeq lists it as uncharacterized. The record is from RefSeq and is a predicted model, not a curated record. NCBI's taxonomy places the organism in Eukaryota, Viridiplantae, Streptophyta, Magnoliopsida, Solanales, Solanaceae. The transcript is spliced from 5 exons.
UGAAAGAGGCGAUGAUGAUUUUUGUCGAAUUUUAAUUCCCUUUUGAGCUGAUCAGUCGGGUAUUUGAGAUUAUUCGACCCGUGUCUGGCGGGGCAUGCUCCCAGUAUCUGGUGGUUUUCGCAGCCAUGGCGUCGUUGGACGCUCUUGUUGCCCGACCUUAAUACAGAUCUGAGCCUCACUUUAAACUAUUUCUGAUAGUACAAGGGUAUAUUUGACCCUUUUCUGUUUUUAAUCUUAGGGCUCUUUUGGUAUGAAGGAAAAUGUUUUCAUGGCAAAUAAGUGGGGUGGUGGAAAGGGUGGGGGUGAGUAUAAUGGUGGCUUGAAAGAGGCGAUGAUGAUUUUGUUAGUUUUAAAUCCCUUCUGAGCUAAUUAUUCGGGUAUUUGAGAGAAUCUGACCCGCAUCUUGGCAGCGCACGCCCCGGUUUUUCUGGUGGGUUUUGCAGUCAUGGCGUGGUUGGACUUUAUUUGCCCGAGCUUAACACAGAUCUGAGCCUUGCUUUCUCUAUGUCAGUUUGGAAAGUAUUUUAUAUUUAGUAGGCGUUUGGACAUGCGAUUUGAAACCAUAGUUUGAAAUCAUCGUUUGGAGAUGCGAUUUCAUCUCAUGGUUUCAAACCAUGGGAUGAAAUCCCAAAUCAUCCAAAAAGGCAUGAUUUGGGGUUUCAAACCAUGGUUUCAAACGACAUCUUAGGGUUUGUUUGGUUAAAGACUGGUAAGUGUAAUGCAGACGGUGGUGAGUAUAAUUGACGGCUUGAAAGAGACGAGGAUGAUUAUGUCAACUUUUCAUCCCCUUUAAAAUGGUUAAUCAGGAAAUUUGAGGUUAUCCAACCCGUAUCUUGGCGGGGCAUGCUCCAGAAUUUAUGGUGGUUUUUGCAGCCAUGGCGUGGUUGGACUAUCUUUUCGCUUGAGCUUAAACACAGAUCUGAGCCUCACUUUCUCUGCCAGCUUAUGGGAACAAAAGGUUAGGGAAAUGAACAAAGCAAAAAGCUCAGAAGGGAAAGAAUGAGGCUACAGAGAAAUGAGGAUUUUCAUUGAAAGGGUGGUUGCCUCUCUCUGCAUUUAGCCAAUGAUUUCUCCAUUACUGUAAGAAUCCCAACAGCCCUUUUAUCAAUUUUAAAGCUGGGAAUAUUAUUACUAAUAGCUCGUUUGGCAUUUGAAGUGCAAAAAUUAAAGACAAUCCCAUUUGCAAUUUCUUCAUUGUCGUUAGUUGUUACAUAUCGUUCAAAGGGUUUCUAUGCCCUUCAACUCUUCUUUUUUCUCCUCUUUUUAAUGCUUCUGCAGGAGCAUUCAAUGUUGCCGGUGGAAAUGGCGGCGGUGAGUAUAAUCGGUGGCUUGAAAGAGGCGAUGAUGAUUUUUGUCAAUUUUUAAUUCCCUUCUGAGCUGAUUAAUCGGGCAUUUGAGAUAAUCCGACCCGUAUCUUGGCGGGGCAUGCUCCCAGACUUUCUGGUGGUUUUUGCAACCAUGGCGUCGUUGGACUCUCUUUUUGCCCGUGUUAUACGCAGAUCUGAGCCUCAUUUUCUCUUUUCAUUUUGGGAAAUAGUUCAUUUUUAGAGUUCAUUUGGUUUGGAGCCUGUUUGGAUUGGCUUAUUUUAGGUGCUUUUAAGCUAAAAUAGCUUUUAAGCGCUUAGAGACACGUUAUGCAGGUGCUACUGAGUAUAGUUGAGGGCUUAUGAUUUUGUCUAUCUUUCAGACUGAGCUUAUUAAUCGGGUAUUUGAGAUGAUCCAACCCGUUUCUUGGCGGGGCAUGCCGUCAGAUUUUCUGGUGGUUUUUGCAGUCAUAGCUGCAUUUGACUCUCUUGUUGCCUGAGCUUAAUACAUCUGAGCCUCACUUUAAACUAUUUCUGAUAGUACAGGGGUAUAUUUGACCCUUUUCCAUUUUGUCAAUCUUUCCGUCUAAGCUUAUUAAACAGGUAUAUGAGAUUAUCCGACCCGUAUCUUGGCGGGGCAUGCUCCCAGAUUUUCUGGUUGUUUUUGCAGCCAUUGUAUUGUUGGAGUCUCUUGUUGCCCGAGCUUAACACAGAUCUGAGCCUCACUUUCUCUGUCAGUUUAGGGAAAUGAACAAACUAAAAACUCAGAAGUUAAAGAAUGAGGCUUCAGAAAAAUGAGGAUUUUCAUUUCUCUGGUCUACGAAAUCACAGAUUCUGGGUUCAAUCCCAGCAGAGUCGAUCAAUUGUCUGUCCUUGUCAAAAAAGAAAUGAGGAUUUUCAUUUCUCCAUUACUGUAAAAAUCCCAACAACCCUUUUGUCAUUUUAUUGGAGGGAGUUUUAUUAUUAACAGCUCGUUUGGCAUUUGAAGGGCAAAAAUUAAAGACCAUACCAUUUGAAGGGCAAAAAUUAAAGACCAUACCAUUUGGAGGGCAAUUCUUCAUUGUUGUUACAUAUCUUUCAAAUCUAUGCCCUUCAACUCUUCUUUUUUCUCCUCUUUUUAAUGCUUCUGCAGGAGCAUUCAAUGUUGCCGGUGGAAAUGGUGGAAAUGGCGGCGGUGAGUAUAAUCGGUGGCUUGAAAGAGGUGAUGAUGAUUUUGUCAAUUUUAACUUCCUUCAGAGCUGAUUAAUCAGCAUUUGAGAUGAUCCGACCCGUAUCUUGGCGGGGCAUGCUCCCAGACUUUCUGGUAGUUUUUGCAGCCAUGGUGUCGCCGGACUCUCUUUUUGCAGCUUCACUUUCUCUGUCAGUUCAGGGAAACAAAAGGUUAGGGAAAUGGAUAAAGCAAAAAUUCAGAAGCGAAAGAAUGAGGCUACAGAGAGUUGAGGAUUUUUCAUUGAAAGGGGGGUUGCUUCUCUCUGCAUCAGCCAGUGAUUUCUCCAUUACUAGAGUAACAAAAAUGGCAUGGUCUUGAGUUUGGAGACAUAAAAACAGUCAAACUCGAGACCACGCCAUACUAGAAACGAGGAUGUUGGCAAAAACUGUUGAUGGUGAGGGUGGACAGAAAAGCAAUCCUUCUAUUCAUCACUAGUUAUCAUACGUGGCAUUACAAAUGGCAGUCUUGAUGGCGAUGAUAUCAAGAUUCCUUGGUCGAAGGAAUUCUGCAUUCUUGAAGACAAAAUUACAGGUUAAAGAGAGAAUACGCGAGAAGCAUUAUUCUUUGUUGCUGUUGAGUUGCUCAAUUAGUGAAGCAUUUUGAUUAUCAUGUCAGCACCAUCUUCUCUUUCGCGCUUUCCAUUGGCAAGAUAAGUUGCUCUUCGGAUAUUCUCCAUUGAUGACUACAUUUCAAGUAAUAACCAAAGCUAUCAAUUUUAACGGUA